CGCUCCUUGCGUUGCUCCGAUUUGGUUCAUUUCUUUCGCAACUUUAAUAAUUUAACUUAGGAUUUAUUCAUUUCUUCAGAACCUUGCAAAUCAUUCCUAUAGCAAAUCAUUCCUAUACUAUAAUUUUACUCUCCAAAGUCUAAAGAAAGUUUAAACUGCGAUGAGAUAAUCAAUUUGGAUAUGCACACAAAUCCAGGAUUUCCGCUUUUCUGAUCUGAGACAUUCAUAAUGAAUCUUUUGUUUGAAUGAGCCUUUUUUUCUUUUUCUAAAUUCAUUUAAGAGGUUCUAUUUGAUCAAUUCAAUAAGUUACUCCCCCCUUGGUCUGUUCGAUACUUCUUUUCUUAUGAAUCCAAAGGGGUUCCGAUACACCUGCAUUUAAUAUUUAAUGAACGAGAUCGAGAAUCAUUCUUAUUUCGACUCAACGAAGGAUCGGAAGAUUGAUUUCGUAGAAGAUUAUGGAGACAAAUAAUGAUUCUUAGAAUCACUUGUUCCUUUCAUUUAUGCCUUGUAUCCUCCUCCCCCCACCGCCUAUUGGGUACAAUAGAAUAGAAAGAAAGUAGUGAGACAAAUAAUGAUUC
This 578-nucleotide long non-coding RNA is filed under the name Amborella trichopoda. Its description in RNAcentral is "long non-coding RNA (ATRI_LNC002528)". The record is from RNAcentral. Lineage: Eukaryota; Viridiplantae; Streptophyta; Magnoliopsida; Amborellales; Amborellaceae.